Molecule: ribosomal RNA, 324 nt
Filed under: uncultured eukaryote
Lineage: Eukaryota
Description: partial 18S ribosomal RNA
Rfam family: Eukaryotic small subunit ribosomal RNA
Source: RNAcentral
CCCUUAGAUGUCCUGGGCCGCACGCGCGCUACACUGAUGCAUUCAACGAGUUUUACCUUGGCCGAGAGGCCUGGGCAAUCUUUUAACCUGCAUCGUGAUAGGGAUAGAUUAUUGCAAUUAUUAAUCUUGAACGAGGAAUUCCUAGUAAACGCAAAUCAUCAAUUUGCAUUGAUUACGUCCCUGCCCUUUGUACACACCGCCCGUCGCACCUACCGAUUGAAUGGUCCGGUGAAGCCUCGGGAUUGUGGCCAGUUCACUUUAUUGGGAGUUGGCUGUGAGAACUUGUCUAAACCUUAUCAUUUAGAGGAAGGUGAAGUCGUAACA